This is a long non-coding RNA of Bombyx mori (domestic silkworm), 1352 nucleotides long. RefSeq lists it as uncharacterized. The transcript is spliced from 3 exons. Lineage: Eukaryota; Metazoa; Arthropoda; Insecta; Lepidoptera; Bombycidae. The record is from RefSeq and is a predicted model, not a curated record.
AUAAAAAUAUAUUUUUUAUUAUCGAUAACAUUAAAUACAAGCAAUCACUAAAACGAUAACAGUUCGUGAAGUAUAUUUGUUACUGGGUCCGUACAACGGCGCCCCGCGCCCAUGCCUUUUUCACAGCGCUCGCCCGGGGCCCGCGGAGGGCGGUCGCCCGACACCGCCUACUUCGUCGGGUACAGGCGUCGCCCGCCUCGUGUACUGCUGUACCUUAAAUUACAGAUAGUCCAAAUAGAAAUAUUGCUUCGACAGAAUGUACACUGUGGUGAACCAACACGUUCACUACAACACUAUGAGAAGCAAUAUCUUUCGUGCUUAAAGACAAACUGCGAAAACCUACCUCUGAAUGAACCAAAGACAAGAAGACCCAAAAAACUAAAUUCAUGGUCAAGUGCCCAUAAAAACAUUAAUCAACCAGCAUAGUAAUGCGAUGUGUGUACAACUGUCCGAGAACAAACUGAAUUUAAAAUAGCGUCGCAUAUUAUGCGAUGCGUGCGGCGACAGCGAGACCACUAAAGUAAACGGCUCACUCGACUCUCGACGAUGCUGUGCACUAAGCGGUCGUACAUUGGUACGUCAUCGAAUGAAUCAUUGAAACAGUCACUCAACGAACCGACAUACCAGUGUCAUGCUGUUGUAUUAUUAUUUUAUAUAUUUCAUACAUACAACACUGACACUUUACAACUGUAAUUAGGUAUUAGUACAAUUGCCUAUGAAGCUAGACCGAAGCAGACAGUGUUUUCACAACUUAGUAAUUUUUCUUAAGAUUCAUUUUACACCCUCACCACCGAAGCACCGAAAAUGAGGAGGUAAACAGUGGAGUUAGUAGAAGUAGUGGAUGAAGGAGAUGCAGCAAGUUGACGCGACAAUGAAACUCGGUCCGCUCGUUUUUUAUUUCGGCAAGUCAAGUAAGUAGUCCCCCGCUUCUCCCACGUCCGUACCUGCCUGUCAAGCCGGGUCUUUAUCGUACAAUUUUUUCAGGGUCUUUAUCGUACAAUUUUUAGUGUUGUGACUCUUCCGUAGUCUAAAGUGGAUUUAGAAGCAAACAUUUCUGGAGAAAAGUUAAUUUUGUCCUUUGUGUCGAGGACCAGUCAGUCUAUUAUUGCCCAAUAUAUUUUCAGAUACUCAAAACUUACUCUCGAUAGCUCAGCAAGCAAGUAAAUGGAAAGAAGUCGACUAUUAGGACCUUUAACAAGUAGACAUGCCAGAUAUUACGAUACGAUAGAUAGAAACAUAGUCAAGGCGCCUAUGUUGUGAAAUAUCUCGGUAAUUGAACUGAAAUAAAAGUCUAAAUUUGUGCUAAUGUUAAAUUAUUAAAAUAAACGAUAAAUACAAAUAUAUAAUAUUUC